Non-coding RNA from Vicia faba (fava bean), 186 nucleotides. NCBI's taxonomy places the organism in Eukaryota, Viridiplantae, Streptophyta, Magnoliopsida, Fabales, Fabaceae. The record is from the annotation of a GenBank genome assembly.
AUGAUCACCAAGGAAAAAACUAGAAGCUCCUCUUCAAUCUUUCUCUGUGAAUCAUCUUUGACCUUCAUUCUCUUUUUUUCAUCCUUCUCUGUUUCUCAUCUUCAUUCUCUCCUUGUGAACUUCUCAAUCUCCCUCUCGAAUAACCUUCCUUCAUCUUCAUCAACCUUUAACAAACCUAGCCUCUGA